UACGUAGGGGGCGAGCGUUGUCCGGAUUUACUGGGCGUAAAGCGCGCGUAGGCGGAAGCGUAAGUGUGGCCUGAAAGCCCCCGGCUCAACCGGGGAGGGUGGCUGCAAACUGCGCUUCUUGAGGGCGAUAGAGGAGUGUGGAAUUCCUGGUGUAGCGGUGAAAUGCGUAGAGAUCAGGAGGAACACCCGUGGCGAAGGCGGCACUCUGGGUCGGCCCUGACGCUGAGGCGCGAAAGCUAGGGGAGCAAACGGG
Molecule: ribosomal RNA, 253 nt
Filed under: uncultured bacterium
Lineage: Bacteria
Description: partial 16S ribosomal RNA
Rfam family: Bacterial small subunit ribosomal RNA
Source: RNAcentral